AUUCUGUCUUGGUCCUCUCUCUUUCUUUUAUCUAUCUGUCUUCUAGUCCUUUCAUGCGGCUCUCAGUCCCACCCAUUUCUCUUUAUCCUCUGGAAUAUCUGCUCUUUCUAACUUUAUAUUUAUUCACCUUCAGUUUUUCAUUUUCUGAUAAGUUGCAGCAAAUCUGCCUGACUACUCUCCUCCUUGGACUGCUUACUUUCGCCCUAAUUGUGUAUGUGUGUGAAAAAGCGAGUGGGAGGGAGAAACGAUAGAGGGAGAGAGAGUGUGCACAUGGUUCAUUCCGGCUCAGUCCUGCCACCCAUCCUCAUCUUUCUCGCCUCUGCCUGUCGCUCUCGUUCCGUUUAUUUAGCCUGGCUUUAAGCAGCUCGUCCAGAAGGACGGGCCUCCUUCUUUGUGCCGCCUUCACUUUUUGUGACAAAAUAACACUUCUCAUGCUCUUAUUUUCUUCUCAAUAUUGAAGGAAUCUUGUUGGCAUGCUAUAAGCUUUCUCUCUCUCUGUGUGUGCUUUUUUGUCUUCCAAUUCCGAAGCAGGCAGAGAGCAAGAGGACCACCGAGUGAUAAGGGCAUCCUGGACCCAAGACGGAGGGUGAUUAGAAGAGAUCAGAACAUGUUGAAACAGUCCAGGAACUUGAGAUGGAUUUUAAAAAAGCACACUGACUCAGCUGCCCCUUUGAACACAAACACACACACACACACACACACACACACACACACACACACACAUGCUCACAUAUUUGUGUGUUUUGGGUUGUCAUGUCCAGAAUGUUCUUUUCAAUUAACCUCCUUAUCUCUUGGAAUCUCCCUGUAAAAUACUGUAAUGUUAAUAAAAUGUUUCCAUAGUUCUUGUGUCUUAUUCUUCAGAUAAAUCUAUCAAUGUUCUGUGCUAAUGUUUUAUGAAACUUAUAUUUGCUUUGUUAAUUAAGUAUUAUUUAUUUUUAACAGUUAUCAUUCUUUAAGUUUGCUAAUUUCAAUUUUUUUAUAUUUAAUUAUAAUAGCUUUUGCUCAUUUUCCAUCUUUAAAAAAAGCACUGCUCUAUGCUUUAUGCUGACAUUUUGUAUACAAGUUGUUUGCACUUUAAUAAAACUUUACUAUUGUGUCUCAGAACAUUGUGAUGGUACAUCUAGAGGUAAUGUAGAUGCAACCCUAAUAAACCUAACUGAUUUUGUUCUCAGAAAACACUGACUUAUUGCUAUCAGUUUAGCAUAGCCUUAGUUUAGCAGCCUUUAGCUAGCACUCUGUAUCAUCCUUUCUACAGUAAACUCUUCACAUAAAAACUCCUAAAAUCUGACUACUACAGCUAUAUGGAAAUGUUCAUCAAGGCUCUAUGUUAUUUAGCAUUUUAUGGGAAUUCCUGCUUAUCUGAUAAUAUUGUGGAGUGUUUCAGACCUCUCUGCAUGACAGAACUUUUUUAAUCAAAUGUAAUUUUUUAUUUUUUUUUCACUAUCUAUUGAACUUUAUCCUGAGUUUGUAACAUUUGCGUCUCACCACAUUUCCAGAAAACAUCAGAUCUAAAGCGUUUCCUCCCACACUUGUUUCAGGUAGUUCUUGGCUAUAGGUUUUGCACAUAAGAAGAACAUCAGCCUUUAAGAGUUUAAUGUUAAAGAAGAUUGGAAAGAAAAUACAGCUGGAUAUUUUAAGAUCAUCAGAGGAGAAUUCUGUUAUUUUUAAUUUCUUUAACAAAUCCAACAUAUUUGUAUGUCAUGAGGUCAAAGUGCUUAAAAUGAGGUUUUACUUUCUAAAGGGUUUUAUCAUGUUCUUCAACUGUGUUAAUAUCAGGUAAUGAACAUUUGUUUCAUUAUGUGUAACAUUGUUUUUGUUACACAUACUGUGUGAAUAAAACUUCACUUUAAACAGGCUCAAAGGUUUUACUAAUUUACGCUCCAGAAUAAUUUAUUCUGAGUUUGUUCUAAUUUUAUUAGAUUCAAAUUAGUGCAGAAUAAUGAGUUCUGAUAAAACUACAAAUUUUGUUUGAUUUUUGAAUUGCCAAAGUAAUAAAGAACAUUGCUAAAAAAAUGUGUUCAUUUUCUGAGUAUAUAUAGCCUAGUAACAAAUAUCAGAGUAAUUAAAUUAUACUCAGAAGAUAAAAUGACAAAAACUCAUUUUUAAAUACGGAGUAGUAAACUAUGAUUCAUAUUACUUUAGCUAUGUAAAACUGAUCAUGCUUUCAUUUUAUUAUUGAUUUUAAGGAUGUGUAGCUAUUUAUUUUUAUCCUGUUUAAGUAAUAAUAAUAACUUAGGAACAGAAGGAACCAACAUUGUGAAAUAUUAGAGCCCUUUUAUGCUGCAGAUUUAUUAGGAAGAACAGAAGUGCCUUCCUUUGAAAAAGUUAAAUAUUUAGAAAGAUUUAUUCAUUAUUGUUCCAAUUCAGAUUUCAGGAGGAUUACACUUUUUAUCUCCUAAAACUAAAAUUCUGGAAUAAACUGAAAGCAUGUAUGCUUUGACAUAUUCCUCUUUACAAGUUGACUUAGUUGCCAUCAAAUCUAUAAUUAUGUUUAUAUGAAGUGAAAAAUAUGCUGCAUAAACACAAACAUUUACCAUGAGGCUCAAUAAUGAACUUUACUUUAGACAUAAGAACAAUUGUAUAAAACAUACUUUUCUGCUCAUUUGUAUUUGCAGUGUGAAAAGUGAAGAUUAUCAGGUACAAACAGCUGAUUAAAGGAAACACUGAAAGAUUUACACAGAGAAACCGUGUGUGUGUUCAGCAUUUUUGUCCCAGUCAGCUUUGUUUGCUGCUUUUUGCUGUCUCUUGCCCUCUCAUCGCUCACGCGCUCUGCCUUAAAAUCCAUGCUGAGAGUUGGCUCACAAGCUGGAGCUCUUUGCUGCUGAAAGUAGGCCAAAAGCAAUCUGAGGACAAGGCUCAGGCAGAGACAGAGAGGUAUGGAUGGUUGGGGAAGAAAACAUGUGACAGUCAUUUAGGAAUGUCUUUUGCUGCUGGAAACCCUGUUUAUGCUUUAAUCUGUUGCUUUAUUCUGUAGGAAACCAUCUUUCACAUUUUAUGAUUUAUAUACAAGUGUAAGUCUUUCUUCAAUCACAAAGGUACAGAGAUUUAAAGAAACCUGUAAUGAUUUUUGAUUAAAAAUAUUGACCAACAUAUAAAAGAAGAUUUUGUUUUAUGAUUUAUGACAACAAAAGUUGUUUUUGGAUUCUGUAAAACUAUUUGAAUUGAGAAAAACUGAAUAUUUGCUGUGCUUCUUCAAAUAAGCUACAGGUAAACAGAGUAUGAAAUAUUGUCAUUGCUGUAUAUUUUGUGACAUUGUUGUGAAGAAUUUAAAAGCUUUCAUUUUCCUGAAUCUAUCCAAAGGCUUAAACUAUCCAAUCAAUCCAUGCAUUCCUGAAGGGCCAUUGUUUCCUCAAAGCAUCACAGAGAGAAAAGAAAAAGAAGUUAUUGAUUUAUUUAUUUUUUCCUAUCCUCAAGGCUGCGUUCAAACUUCAGCUGGAGAAUUUGUCCUUGUGAACCUCUACCUCACACCGUGUCUCUAAAAUAAAGUCCUGUUUUUGGAAGUCUUUGUCAGUUUCCGUCUUGCUUCCUGCUGUUGCUGCACAGUUUUAAGAAUAUCUAUAACCUCAAUAUACAUAUUGAGGUUU
Molecule: long non-coding RNA, 3584 nt
Organism: Girardinichthys multiradiatus
Lineage: Eukaryota; Metazoa; Chordata; Actinopteri; Cyprinodontiformes; Goodeidae
Exons: 3
Source: RefSeq, a predicted model, not a curated record